Molecule: non-coding RNA, 22 nt
Filed under: Arabidopsis thaliana (thale cress)
Lineage: Eukaryota; Viridiplantae; Streptophyta; Magnoliopsida; Brassicales; Brassicaceae
Source: RNAcentral
GCGAGAGCGGGUCGCCGCGUGC